RNAcentral lists this ribosomal RNA (432 nucleotides) under uncultured bacterium. RNAcentral describes it as "partial 16S ribosomal RNA". It matches the Rfam family "Bacterial small subunit ribosomal RNA", at positions 29 to 506 of the family's 1533-position model. The record is from RNAcentral.
AGCGAACGCUGGCGGCAGGCCUAACACAUGCAAGUCGAACGAACUCUUCGGAGUUAGUGGCGGACGGGUGAGUAACACGUGGGAACGUGCCUUUUGGUUCGGAAUAACUCAGGGAAACUUGUGCUAAUACCGAAUGUGCCCUUCGGGGGAAAGAUUUAUCGCCAUUAGAGCGGCCCGCGUCUGAUUAGCUAGUUGGUGAGGUAACGGCUCACCAAGGCGACGAUCAGUAGCUGGUCUGAGAGGAUGACCAGCCACACUGGGACUGAGACACGGCCCAGACUCCUGCGGGAGGCAGCAGUGGGGAAUCUUGCGCAAUGGGCGAAAGCCUGACGCAGCCAUGCCGCGUGAAUGAUGAAGGUCUUAGGAUUGUAAAAUUCUUUCACCGGGGACGAUAAUGACGGUACCCGGAGAAGAAGCCCCGGCUAACUUCGG